This 134-nucleotide non-coding RNA is filed under the name Thalassionema frauenfeldii. The record is from RNAcentral. Lineage: Eukaryota; Bacillariophyta; Fragilariophyceae; Thalassionematales; Thalassionemataceae.
UUUUUUUUCCUUUCUUUCGUUCCACACCAACUUGGUGUUGCUCACAAAAAGAGGCAACAGAGAGAAGCAAAAUCAUCAUUUAAAACAAAAAAAACCAAAGAUUUCAAAAUGAAACUUUUAAUUUUUGCCUUAUU